Molecule: ribosomal RNA, 492 nt
Filed under: uncultured bacterium
Lineage: Bacteria
Description: partial 16S ribosomal RNA
Rfam family: Bacterial small subunit ribosomal RNA
Source: RNAcentral
AGUGAACGCUGGCGGUAGGCCUAACACAUGCAAGUCGAACGGCCGCACAGUAAGAUCUUGCUCCUACGGGUGGCGAGUGGCGGAUGGGUGAGGAAUACAUCGGCAUCUACUUUUUCGUGGGGGACAACGUAGGGAAACUUACGCUAAUACCGCAUACGACCUACGGGUGAAAGCAGGGGAUCUUCGGACCUUGCGCGAUUGAAUGAGCCGGUGUCGGAUUAGCUAGUUGGCUGGGUAAAGGCCCACCAAGGCGACGCUCCGUAGCUGGUCUGAGAGGGUGAUCAGCCACACUGGAACUGAGACACGGUCCAGACUCCUACGGGAGGCAGCAGUGGGGAAUAUUGGGCAAUGGGCGCAAGCCUGAUCCAGCCAUGCCGCGUGGGUGAAGAAGGCCUUCGGGUUGUAAAGCCCUUUUGUUGGGAAAGAAAAGCAGCGGAUUAAUACCCCGCUGUUCUGACGGUACCCAAAGAAUAAGCACCGGCUAACUUCGUG